Molecule: ribosomal RNA, 482 nt
Filed under: Rossellomorea marisflavi
Lineage: Bacteria; Bacillati; Bacillota; Bacilli; Caryophanales; Bacillaceae
Description: bacterial SSU rRNA
Rfam family: Bacterial small subunit ribosomal RNA
Source: RNAcentral
CUGACGGAGCAACGCCGCGUGAGUGAAGAAGGUUUUCGGAUCGUAAAACUCUGUUGUUAGGGAAGAACAAGUGCCGUUCGAAUAGGGCGGCACCUUGACGGUACCUAACCAGAAAGCCACGGCUAACUACGUGCCAGCAGCCGCGGUAAUACGUAGGUGGCAAGCGUUGUCCGGAAUUAUUGGGCGUAAAGCGCGCGCAGGUGGUUUCUUAAGUCUGAUGUGAAAGCCCACGGCUCAACCGUGGAGGGUCAUUGGAAACUGGGGAACUUGAGUGCAGAAGAGGAAAGUGGAAUUCCAAGUGUAGCGGUGAAAUGCGUAGAUAUUUGGAGGAACACCAGUGGCGAAGGCGACUUUCUGGUCUGUAACUGACACUGAGGCGCGAAAGCGUGGGGAGCAAACAGGAUUAGAUACCCUGGUAGUCCACGCCGUAAACGAUGAGUGCUAAGUGUUAGAGGGUUUCCGCCCUUUAGUGCUGCAGCUAA